UAGUAAUCGCGGAUCAGCAUGCCGCGGUGAAUACGUUCCCGGGCCUUGUACACACCGCCCGUCACACCAUGGGAGUGGGUUGCAAAAGAAGUGGGUAGCUUAACCUUCGGGAGGGCGCUCACCACUUUGUGAUUCAUGACUGGGGUGAAGUCGUAACAAGGUAGCCCUAGGGGAACCUGGGGCUGGAUCACCUCCUUUAAAUAAGUUAUCCGAUUUUCGGAGCAUCCUCACAAGUUAUCUGUCCACAUGUUAAGCAGAUACAGACCUGUUGCUUAAUACAAGCAGCUGUUCUGCGGUAGAGACUCGGGUCUGUAGCUCAGUUGGUUAGAGCGCACCCCUGAUAAGGGUGAGGUCGGAGGUUCAAAUCCUCCCAGACCCACCAAUUUCCGCCAUCCGCCAUUGAUCAUGACACUCAUGUUUGGCAAGAUGCGAAAUAGUUAUUGGGGCCAUAGCUCAGCUGGGAGAGCGCCUGCCUUGCACGCAGGAGGUCGGGAGUUCGAUCCUCCCUGGCUCCACCAAUUUCGAGUGUCAAGUGGCUAGCGAGAAACGCUAGCCACUUUGCAUUUAUGUAAAGUCUGCUCUUUAAAAAUUAGGUUAGAUCGCAGAUAGGCGAUAUCGAAAGAUAUCGAAUAUCUAUAAUAUGUAGUAUCUCAAGUUGUGAAACUUAAGAUUGGGUAUGUUGUACUCAAAUCAGCAUUGAU
Molecule: unclassified non-coding RNA, 701 nt
Filed under: uncultured Gammaproteobacteria bacterium
Lineage: Bacteria; Pseudomonadati; Pseudomonadota; Gammaproteobacteria
Description: partial contains 16S ribosomal RNA and 16S-23S ribosomal RNA intergenic spacer
Rfam family: Bacterial small subunit ribosomal RNA (bases 1-198)
Source: RNAcentral